This 505-nucleotide ribosomal RNA is filed under the name uncultured bacterium. RNAcentral describes it as "partial 16S ribosomal RNA". It matches the Rfam family "Bacterial small subunit ribosomal RNA", at positions 28 to 507 of the family's 1533-position model. The record is from RNAcentral.
GACGAACGCUGGCGGCGUGCCUAAUACAUGCAAGUAGAACGCACAGUUUAUACCGUAGCUUGCUACACCAUAGACUGUGAGUUGCGAACGGGUGAGUAACGCGUAGGUAACCUGCCUGGUAGCGGGGGAUAACUAUUGGAAACGAUAGCUAAUACCGCAUAAUAUUAAUUAUUGCAUGAUAAUUAAUUGAAAGGUGCAAUUGCACCACUACCAGAUGGACCUGCGCUGUAUUAGCUAGUAGGUGAGGUAACGGCUCACCUAGGCGACGAUACAUAGCCGACCUGAGAGGGUGAUCGGCCACACUGGGACUGAGACACGGCCCAGACUCCUACGGGAGGCAGCAGUAGGGAAUCUUCGGCAAUGGACGAAAGUCUGACCGAGCAACGCCGCGUGAGUGAAGAAGGGUUUCGGAUCGUAAAGCUCUGUUGUAAGAGAAGAACGGGUGUGAGAGUGGAAAGUUCACACUGUGACGGUAUCUUACCAGAAAGGGACGGCUAACUACGUG